Mycena rosella is the source of this 89-nucleotide non-coding RNA. The record is from the annotation of a GenBank genome assembly. Lineage: Eukaryota; Fungi; Basidiomycota; Agaricomycetes; Agaricales; Mycenaceae.
GUCUUUGUGGAGCACGGGCGCUCGUUCCCUCUAUGUGCACAUUAGCCAGAUAUGUGGGAAAGCUGGUGGUUCAACUCCACCCGAAGACA